Molecule: ribosomal RNA, 485 nt
Filed under: uncultured bacterium
Lineage: Bacteria
Description: partial 16S ribosomal RNA
Rfam family: Bacterial small subunit ribosomal RNA
Source: RNAcentral
GACGAACGCUGGCGGCGUGCUUAACACAUGCAAGUCGAACGGAAAGGCCUCUUUCGGGGGUACUCGAGUGGCGAACGGGUGAGUAACACGUGAGUAACCUGCCCUUGACUUUGGGAUAACUUCAGGAAACUGGGGCUAAUACCGGAUAGGAGCUCCUGCUGCAUGGUGGGGGUUGGAAAGUUUCGGCGGUUGGGGAUGGACUCGCGGCUGAUUAGCUUGUUGGUGGGGGAGUGGCUUACCAAGGCGUUGACGGGUAGCCGGCCUGAGAGGGGGACCGGCCACACUGGGAGUGAGACACGGUCGUGACUCCGAGGGGAGGCCGCAGUGGGGAAGGGUGGACAAUGGGGGCAAGAGUGAUCCAGGGAUACAGCGUGGGUGCAGAAGGCCUGCGGGGGGGAAAGCCCCUUUGGGGGGAAAGACAAGUUGCACGUUAAUAAACCGUUGUUGUGACGGUAGGGGAAAAAGAAGCACCGGCUAACUUCGUG